CCUACGGGUGGCAGCAGUGGGGAAUAUUGCUCAAUGGGGGAAACCCUGAAGCAGCGACGCCGCGUGGAGGAAGAAGGAUCUCGGUAUGUAAAGCUCUAUUAGUAGGGAAGAAAAUGACGGUACCUGACUACUAAGCCCCGGCUAACUACGUGCCAGCAGCCGCGGUAAUACGGAGGGUGCAAGCGUUAUGCGGAAUCACUGGGUGUAAAGGGGGCGUAGGCGGCGUGGUAAGUCAGAUGUGAAAUCCUAGGGCUCAACCAGAGAACUGCAUUUGAAACUGUUGUGCUGGAGUGUGGGAGAGGUAGGUGGAAUGCUUGGUGUAGCGGUGAAAUGCGUAGAGAUUAAGAGGAACACUCAUUGCGAAGGCGACUUGCUAGACGAUAACUGACGCUGAGGCUCGAAAGCGUGGGGAGCAAACAGGAUUAGAUACCCUAGUAGUC
This 440-nucleotide ribosomal RNA is filed under the name uncultured bacterium. Its description in RNAcentral is "partial 16S ribosomal RNA". It matches the Rfam family "Bacterial small subunit ribosomal RNA", at positions 338 to 795 of the family's 1533-position model. The record is from RNAcentral.